GACGAACGCUGGCGGCGUGCUUAACACAUGCAAGUCGAACGGAAAGGCCCUGCUUUUGUGGGGUUCUCGAUUGGCGAACGGGUGAGUAACACGUGAGUAACCUGCCCUUGACUUUGGGAUAACUUCAGGAAACUUUGGCUAAUACCGGAUAGGAGCUCCUGCUGCAUGGUGUGGGUUGGUAAGUUUCGGCGGUUGGGGAUGGACUCGCGGCUUAUCAGCUUGUUGGUGGGGUAGUGGCUUACCAAGGCUUUGACGGGUAGCAGGCAUGAGAGGGUGAACGGAGAAAAUGGGACUGAGAGAGGGCCCAGAGGCCUACGGGAGGCAGCAGUGGGGAAUAUUGCACAAUGGGCGGAAGCCUGAUGCAGCAACGCGGCGUGCGGGAUGACGGCCUUCGGGUUGUAAACAGAUUUAGCAUGUGACGAAGCGUGAGUGACGGUAAUGGGUAAAGAAGCACCGGCUAACUACGUG
RNAcentral lists this ribosomal RNA (468 nucleotides) under uncultured bacterium. RNAcentral describes it as "partial 16S ribosomal RNA". It matches the Rfam family "Bacterial small subunit ribosomal RNA", at positions 28 to 507 of the family's 1533-position model. The record is from RNAcentral.